This 482-nucleotide ribosomal RNA is filed under the name uncultured bacterium. RNAcentral's name for it is "partial 16S ribosomal RNA". It matches the Rfam family "Bacterial small subunit ribosomal RNA", at positions 28 to 507 of the family's 1533-position model. The record is from RNAcentral.
GAUGAACGCUAGCGGCAGGCCUAAUACAUGCAAGUCGAACGAGAUUACGAGGCUUGCUUCUUAUGAAAGUGGCGCACGGGUGCGUAACGCGUAUGCAACCUACCUUAAUCAGGGGGAUAGCCCGAAGAAAUUCGGAUUAAGACCGCAUAAAAACACAGGAUAGCAUUAUCCAAUGUUCAAAUAUUUAUAGGAUUAAGAUGGGCAUGCGUGUCAUUAGCUAGUUGGCGGGGUAACGGCCCACCAAGGCGACGAUGACUAGGGGAUCUGAGAGGAUGACCCCCCGCACUGGUACUGAGACACGGACCAGACUCCUACGGGAGGCAGCAGUAAGGAAUAUUGGUCAAGGGAGGGAACUCUGAACCAGCCAUGCCGCGUGCAGGAAGACAGCCCUCUGGGUCGUAAACUGCUUUUAUUCGGGAAUAAACCUUUCUACGUGUAGGAAGCUGAAUGUACCGAAGGAAUAAGGAUCGGCUAACUCCGUG